RNAcentral lists this long non-coding RNA (739 nucleotides) under Sorghum bicolor (sorghum). Its description in RNAcentral is "long non-coding RNA (SBIC_LNC004180)". The record is from RNAcentral. Lineage: Eukaryota; Viridiplantae; Streptophyta; Magnoliopsida; Poales; Poaceae.
CCUGCAGACUGCGGUUCGUAGCCUCCGCUCUGCUCAAACAAUAUACAUGGCAUCAUCAUGUAUGUGUAUAUCCCCUCUGCUCAAAUCGAACACGCAAUUAUCAUCCACACACACAAAAAGAAACAAAUCAAAUAAGGAAAAACUUUGUUCCUUCAGAUAAACGAUGGGUUGCACAAGACCCCACAGCCACAUACACUUACACAUACAUAAGCUGUUGUAUCUAUGAUCUAUCCAUGAUGGUUUCAGAGCAACAAAUGCUAAGCCGGCAUAAGUACAUACAUACAUACAAAAAUGCAAGUAGUUCAGCCAAAACUAAGCAUGCCUGUACGUCGUUUAAUUAGACUCCAAAUCGACGAGGCAUGGUGGCACUGGGGGAUGGAUGACAACGAACCUGUACCGAUUAUAUAUAUAUAUACGCACGUCGCACAUAGCAGAGGAAGGGGGAGCUUGGAGGGCUCGACCAACGGCACGCAUGGCUGGCCGGGUUGGCCGUGCUCUCAGUCUCAGUCAGAAGAAGCCGCGGCGGAGCGGCGGGGGCUGCAAGAGGGCGACGAACGCCAGGACGGCGACGGCGACGAGGAGCAGAGCCAUGAGGAUGUUCUCGUCGACGGGGAGCAGGCACACCUUCCCCAUGAUAUGCAGGGGAGCUCAACUGCAAGGGCGUUGGCAACGGCUUUGGUCAGGCCUGGAUGCGUGUUCCUUGUUGUUAUAGCUGUUCAAGUCUCUCUGUCUCUGUCUC